Molecule: long non-coding RNA, 595 nt
Organism: Beta vulgaris subsp. vulgaris (sugar beet)
Lineage: Eukaryota; Viridiplantae; Streptophyta; Magnoliopsida; Caryophyllales; Amaranthaceae
Exons: 2
Source: RefSeq, a predicted model, not a curated record
CUUCUCUGAUCUCAUCAUAUAGUUCUUCAAGAAGAAGGAAAAAACAAAUAUAAAACCAUGUCUUCCUUUUUUUCCUUUCUUGCGACUUCGUGCCUUACUAGCAGUUGAAGCUGCCAGCAUGAUCUGAGCUUUCUCUCUCGAUCCUCUUCUUUCUUCUCUUUCUUUCUCCCUUCGCUCGAGAAAGAUUAGAUCAUGUGGUAGCUUCACCUGUUCAUGAGAGCACGCUAGAUAAACCAAGAGAUAUGAGAUAUAAUUCGUUAUAUUUCAUCUUAAGUUUUUGAGAUCUCUCCUCGAGUCUUGGGGAAGUAAGCUUUUAUAUCCCUUUCAUGCACUGUUCCAUAUGUAUAUGUAUAUAAGUAUAUCAUAGAUUCUUUUUAAUUUUAUGCUUAGGUUAAUUGCACCUAAGAUUAUAUAGUACUAAUUACUAGGAGAUAAAAUGUGUUUUUUUUUUUCAUUUCUUUGAUCGAUGUUUCUUAUCUUGUUCUGUUUGUUAAUUAGUAGAUCUAACUAGAGUCAAGUCGUACUUAAUUUGUUUGUAUAAAUAAAUUUAUUAUCUAAAUAAAUAAUUAAUGAUCAAUUUGUUUGUCCUAAUUAA